ACAAAAUACUAUACUUUUAAGAAUAAUCCCGUUGUAACUUUUGAACAGACGGUCGGACCUUUAUGGGCUUAUAAUAUAAAAUGUAGAGCUCGUCGAGAGGAACAUUUUAUACGCUGUAUGUAUGCAGCAAAGUCUUAUCGUUUUCCUAAUAUGUAAGCUUGAAAUUUCAGCGUAAUUUUAUUCUGCACUCGGUGACCUUUGACCUUGGGGGCAUAUUGAAGGUCACAUGAAUUAAAGAUUAUUGGUGAAGGUUCAAGGUCUCUAUGACUUUAGGUUCUGAAAAUAGAAUUUUUUAAAAAUUAUUUUUUAUUUUUAAAGGGAAAUAACUCCUUAUAAGGGUUAAUAACAAAAUGAUUGUACAUGUUCAUUAACAUUGCCAUCUGUUCCUGUACAUGUUGCCGUUUUCAAAUCGAUUCUAUCUCUUAUACUUUUUGAGAAAAAUGCAAAGGAAGGAACUUGUUUCAAGGGGAUAUAACUCUCAUAGGGGACGAUGAAAUCCUAUUCAGCCUCCCAUGGUAAUACAUCAUGAUAAUAUCUACAUUUUGUCCAAUUAAGUUCAUGAUAUCUUUAAAACCAACGAGGGAGGGCCAUUUUGAAAAAAAUCAAUAAAAGGGGGAUAACUCAUCAAGGGAAUGAUGAAAUCCCUAACAGAGUCAUUUGGUAAUACAUCUUGGUGAGAUCCAGCGAUGGUCCAUAUUUGGUCUUAAUAACUUCAACAGAAACAAGAAGCGGGCAUGUCAAAAAAAUGUUGGAAGAAAAAAAAGAAAAAAAAAGAAAAAGACUAGUAUCUCAAUUGUUUGUAAAACAAUUGAAAGGUCUUUCCUGUAAAAGUGAUGUUUUCGUUAUGUACCUUGUACGACCUUUCGUUUGAUAUACGACAAGCAUACUUUCUGAAACUUUCCGCUUUUAACACUUAAUGACUUCAACCGCCUACAUUUUUG
This 941-nucleotide long non-coding RNA is filed under the name Mytilus galloprovincialis (Mediterranean mussel). The record is from RNAcentral. Lineage: Eukaryota; Metazoa; Mollusca; Bivalvia; Mytilida; Mytilidae.